CCUACGGGGGGCUGCAGUGAGGAAUAUUGGUCAAUGGGCGGGAGCCUGAACCAGCCAAGUCGCGUGAGGGAAGACGGUCCUAUGGAUUGUAAACCUCUUUAGGCGGGGAGCAAUGCCGGGCACGCGUGCCCGGAGGGAGAGUACCCGCAGAAUAAGCAUCGGCUAACUCCGUGCCAGCAGCCGCGGUAAUACGGAGGAUGCGAGCGUUAUCCGGAUUUAUUGGGUUUAAAGGGUGCGUAGGCGGAUUUUUAAGUCAGCGGUAAAAUGUCCGGGCUCAACCCGGGCCGGCCGUUGAAACUGGGUGCCUUGAGUGGGCGAGAAGUACGCGGAAUGCGUGGUGUAGCGGUGAAAUGCAUAGAUAUCACGCAGAACUCCGAUUGCGAAGGCAGCGUACCGGCGCCCAACUGACGCUGAAGCACGAAGGCGUGGGUAUCGUACAGGAUUAGAUACCCCGGUAAUC
Molecule: ribosomal RNA, 460 nt
Filed under: uncultured bacterium
Lineage: Bacteria
Description: partial 16S ribosomal RNA
Rfam family: Bacterial small subunit ribosomal RNA
Source: RNAcentral